UGUGAGCAGAUGUGGUACAAGGAGAAGCGGAGACAGCGCAACAAGGGCAGCCCAAAGUGGAAGCACAUGCAGGAAAUGAAGAAGAAACGAAAUCGACGACAUCACAGAGACCUCGAUGAGCUCCAGAGAUCAGUAGCUACAUAGUUUUCUAUUUAAUUUAAAGAGGGAAUUAUUUACCUGCCUGCACAAAUAAUGUCUUCUGUUUUGUACAUCCCUUAUACUAACUCAUACAUGCUUCCCAUGGAGUCUCACGGAGGCACAGGAUGCUAUGCUGAGUAAGACUAUAUAGGACAUCAUCUGAACCAGCUUUCCAAGAACAAAAUCUGUAUCAGCAAAGUUAAGAAUUGUCUUAAAAAUAGGGGCCUUAUGUUUGUAAAUGUCUCAUAGUUUGAAUUUAAUGUCAUGUAAAUAAUCAAGUUAAAUGAACCCAGGUCCACUUAGUAAGGGCGUUAUUCCCGUGCAUGUCCAUUAAGCAUGGACUUUCCCAUGCUGCUGGCUAUGUGCUUAAUCAUUCCAUUCUAGAACAGGUGAUCAUGUAGGAACUGGAGAAAAGGCACACUUUAAAACAGCUUAUGUUAGCAAAAAAAAAACUUUCUCAAGGAGCCAACAGGCCACACUUGGAGUCAGGCGUGGGAAUUUAGAAAGGCAUGUUCCCUCUUUGUGGACCAGGCUACAUCUAGUGUACUGCAGUAAUGCUCUGUGAGAGGGUAGUAAUGAUCCUCACCAAUUUCCUUUUGAUUGCUCAAGCACAGCAUCAUGGACAGAACCCCAUGGUGUGCUCUAGAGUACAGACAAUGGAACUUAGUACACACUUCCUGUGCUCUUUGGGAAGCAUGGUAAAAGAUCUUAAUAUAAUAAUAAGGGUGACAUGAUAUACACUGUAUCCUAAUCUGUAGAUGGGAAUUAUUUGGAGACAGACAAGAUAGCUGUAAAUUCUGUCUCUGAGAAAAACUUAUAUUGCCAUAAAAAAGGAGAAAGCCACAAAGUAGAUAGAAUGUAAUGGAAUUCUUUCCACUGGAGUAUAAAUAUCUGCCAACUUAUAAUGUUUUGGUUAAAAAUAAUUUAGAUUAUAGCAAAUUGUUAGCAAAAAUGCAAGUGAAAGUAAAAUUUGUAAAAAAAAUUAUGGGAUGGCAAUAUAUUAUUUAUAACCAAUGUAUUUCUGUGUUCUCUUUUUUUCUAAGUAUUUAUCGUAUUCUGUAUAUUGUUUGCAUUUACAUCCUUUUUUUUAUUAUAUUUGAGUAAAUAGGAGAAAGCAAUACGUAAUACAUAGAGAUAAUUGAGUAGAUGACCAAGGUGGGGAGUGGGGCUAUAUAUUUGUUGAAUGGAUGGAUAAUGGCAAAAUUUUGAUGACGGGAAGGGUUAAAUUAACUCUUCGACAUCCUCUCGUUACAUAAACUUUCAAGCAGUGUUGUUUUCAGCAGUUUCACAAGGAAGUCUUCAACAUCUAAAGAAAACACUCACACCGUUAGCAUAAGUACCAUUUGUAUUUUGCUAGCCUGUGUCAAAUUCAACUUUGCCUUUGAACAGUGUUUUCCUGCCAGUCUCUCCAGAAAUCAACUUUCCUUCCUGUAGCACAAAACCCUUAGCCUUCCUCUGUUUUGCCUUUUCACGCUCUUUAUAGUGUGAAAUGAACAAUUAGUCACUUCCUCACAAAGAAUGCAGCUUUUUAGAAAACCAACAGACCUUGUUUGUUUCUCAUGCAUUCUACAUGUUUUGAAAGAUUCUGUGAGAAGCCUGUGUGAUUAAAAAGCAGUUUUACAGAGUCAAGCAAUCUAUCUCUUCAAAGUAGCAUCAGUAUUUUACAUUCAUUUAAUUUGCAUUGGGUACCUAUCUCAAGGGCAUAACAUUAUCUGCAAGGGACUAGUAUAAUAAUGAAUAUUUGUUGAUGUUUCACUCUUGGAAAAAGCAAAAAUGAAGGAACAAUUUUAAUUUGUAAACCAGAAUGAAUCACAUCUCCAGCAGAAGUGCAUACAAAUCCUUGUGUCAUGGUUAGACUACUAAUCAUAGAUCACACAAUAAUGUUUAUCUACUGGCUUACUGAGUCCUGCAAAGUCACAGCAAACAUGUCAGUGGGUGCAUGCUUCAUUCAAAAAAUGCUUUCAGAUAGCUGUGCAUCAGAGAGUAAUACUCAAAUAUCAGUAGUAUUGAAAGAUUGCACAAGAUUCUACUCUUUGUAUUGACAUCUGAAAAUUAAUUUUAUAUAGAUAAUAAUGUCCAAACUAUUUUCUAAUUACUUAUGUAAUUAGAAAUGUAAUGUUUUAUCAACAUUCUGUAAAUCUAUUUUACAUCUUAGAUUUAAAAUUUUGGCUGUUUUGGGCAUAAAACUUCUAAUUAUGAUUAAAUAUAUUAUAAACAUUAUUAGGAAAAUAUGAUUCCAUAAUAAAGGUAGGGCUAUGGUUUAUUUUGAAAUGCAGACUAUAGCUAAGCAGCAUUCAUUCUUAUUCAAAAGACUUAGAAGAGUGUUGUGAAAGAUCAGUUGACAAAUGUAAUGUGUAGUUCCUUACCAUUGAGGAUGAACAACUCUGUUUUGAAAUAAUAAAAAGCAGAAUAUUGCUCAAAGUUUAAAUAUUAAAGGUACCAGAUCCCCCAGAAGCAACUCUGAACUAUGUAGUUAUUCAUUUUUUUUUAAAUCUAUUUUUCUGUCUUCAGUACAAGUCUCUAGCUUCUGUGAGUGUUUUUGCUGCAUUUUUAUUCAGUCCUUUGUGCUGCUAAAUAGUAGUAUGCCUGAAUGAGUUAAUUUACAUUUAAUUUAUUGGGAAUUUUAAGAGUUUGUUUAGAAAUGGAUAAUCUAAAUAAGCAAUUUAUGUAAAAUCCUUUGUUUUUCUUUCCCAAAAGAGUUCAUAAUCAUAUAUCACACGACAGAGUAAACAUUUCAGAAGAAACAGUCAAGUUACUUAAAAAACUGCAAAGUAGUCAUAGAAAAACUGAGCACACUGCAGAAUCCACAAUAGCUCUCGGAUGCACAAUUCCAGGAUGAUUUGUUUAAAGCAAGACUUACUUACAACAUGCCUGCAAUAUGAUGGUCACGCUUUUGGACGUUUCCUUUGUGCUAUACUUUGAUUCUUUGCAUAUAUUAAUUAUUACAUGCUAUUCCUACUGAAUUGGUGAUCUUACCUAGAGGCUAACAAGAGUGACUACUUGUUAGACUAACAUAACCAAGAAUAAUUUCCCAGGACAACUUGUGUCAUUUCAUUCACAUG
Molecule: long non-coding RNA, 3200 nt
Filed under: Mus musculus (house mouse)
Lineage: Eukaryota; Metazoa; Chordata; Mammalia; Rodentia; Muridae
Description: long non-coding RNA chr5:12585158-12588358
Source: RNAcentral